This 474-nucleotide long non-coding RNA is filed under the name Pectinophora gossypiella (pink bollworm). Its description in RNAcentral is "uncharacterized LOC126367878". Lineage: Eukaryota; Metazoa; Arthropoda; Insecta; Lepidoptera; Gelechiidae. The record is from RNAcentral.
CACGGUCGCGUGAACUUUGUUUAUGAGUGUCUUGUGUUCAGAUUGUUUUAAGUGAUAAUUUAACAAUAUUUUUCCAAAUAAAUGGAAAGAAACUUUUAUUUAUAUCAAAUAAUUGAGUGUCUCGACUCUGUGACAUUAUGUCUUGUGUGGUAUGGGGCUGCAGCUCACAUUCAGGAAGAAAAGAAAAUAGCCAACAACUUCUGUCGUUUCAUCGAUAUUAAAUCCAAAAGUGUCGACUGGAUUUACAUGAAAAGUCAGUUCAAGAAGACGAGAUGAAAAAUUUAAAAGAAAAGCUGAACAAGUCACGCCUCAAGAUCAAACGACUUAAUGAAAAAAAAAAUCAAUGUGACAGGGUGUCACAAAGACAGUUUCUAAACAAAUUGACACUGUUUAGAAAUUAAUAAAUUUGUAUUUAUUGUAAAUAUAAUGUACAUAAUUAAUAACGUGUAAAAUAAAUACUUGCUAAUGAACAGA